Molecule: transfer RNA, 77 nt
Filed under: Planctomycetota bacterium
Lineage: Bacteria; Pseudomonadati; Planctomycetota
Description: tRNA-Arg
Rfam family: tRNA
About the family: Transfer RNA (tRNA) molecules are approximately 80 nucleotides in length. Their secondary structure includes four short double-helical elements and three loops (D, anti-codon, and T loops).
Source: RNAcentral
GCUCCCGUAGCUCAGUUGGAUAGAGCACCGGAUUUCUAAUCCGGCGGUCCCAGGUUCGAAUCCUGGCGGGAGCGCCA